Apis florea (little honeybee) is the source of this 283-nucleotide long non-coding RNA. The record is from RefSeq and is a predicted model, not a curated record. NCBI's taxonomy places the organism in Eukaryota, Metazoa, Arthropoda, Insecta, Hymenoptera, Apidae.
ACGCGACGUAGAAGGUGUUCCAAAAUCCAGCUACCUCGAUGAAUCACCUACAAGCAUACAAUGGUGGAUCUGCCUAUAAAGAUCAACUUUUUCCGAACCUUGAGGCGAAUAAGAUAGUCAUGGACGACCUCGAGCAAGUGUUGGCUCCCGGCUACGUAUAACGGAUUGCCCGUGACCGGGGAGGACCUUGGCCAUGGAUGUACGUCGGAUGUCGUGACGCAGGCGUCGCGACGCGCGCUUUUAUUCCUUUCAUGAUUUCCUUUCGCUACAAGUUAAAAAAAAA